RNAcentral lists this ribosomal RNA (301 nucleotides) under uncultured bacterium. RNAcentral describes it as "partial 16S ribosomal RNA". It matches the Rfam family "Bacterial small subunit ribosomal RNA", at positions 509 to 807 of the family's 1533-position model. The record is from RNAcentral.
CAGCAGCCACGGUAAUACGAAGGGUGCAAGCGUUAAUCGGAUUUACUGGGCGUAAAGCGUGCGUAGGCGGCAUCUUAAGUCGGAUGUGAAAUCCCUGAGCUUAACUUAGGAAUUGCAUUCGAUACUGGGAAGAUAGAGUAUGGGAGAGGAUGGUAGAAUUCCAGGUGUAGCGGUGAAAUGCGUAGAGAUCUGGAGGAAUACCGAUGGCGAAGGCAGCCAUCUGGCCUAAUACUGACGCUGAGGUACGAAAGCAUGGGGAGCAAACAGGAUUAGAUACCCCGGUAGUCCCUGUCUCUUAUAC